GAUGAACGCUAGCGGCAGGCUUAACACAUGCAAGUCGAGGGGUAUAGUUCUUCGGAAUUAGAGACCGGCGCACGGGUGCGUAACGCGUAUGCAAUCUACCUUUCACAAAGGGAUAGCCCCAGAGAAAUUUGGAUUAAUACCUUAUAGUAAUACGACUUGGCAUCAAGAUGUAUUUAAAGAUUUAUCGGUGAAAGAUGAGCAUGCGUCCCAUUAGCUUGUUGGUAAGGUAACGGCUUACCAAGGCAACGAUGGGUAGGGGUCCUGAGAGGGAGAUCCCCACACUGGUACUGAGACACGGACCAGACUCCUACGGGAGGCAGCAGUGAGGAAUAUUGGACAAUGGGCGCAAGACCUGAUCCAGCCAUGCCGCGUGCAGG
This 377-nucleotide ribosomal RNA is filed under the name uncultured bacterium. RNAcentral describes it as "bacterial SSU rRNA". It matches the Rfam family "Bacterial small subunit ribosomal RNA", at positions 28 to 407 of the family's 1533-position model. The record is from RNAcentral.